GGGGAUAUAGCUCAGUUGGUAGAGUGAUUACCUUGCAUGCACACAGGCUCUGGGUUCAAUCCCCAGCACCCCCC
RNAcentral lists this transfer RNA (74 nucleotides) under Marmota monax (woodchuck). It matches the Rfam family "tRNA". From Rfam's summary of the family: Transfer RNA (tRNA) molecules are approximately 80 nucleotides in length. Their secondary structure includes four short double-helical elements and three loops (D, anti-codon, and T loops). Lineage: Eukaryota; Metazoa; Chordata; Mammalia; Rodentia; Sciuridae. The record is from Rfam by way of RNAcentral.